GGAGUUUAUCUCAAUCAUAUACUUGUAUAUAUGCAUAAAAAAUAUGUAUGAUAUACAUUUCUGCUUUAAAAGAAUGGGGCAGAUCUAUUAAUACUCAUGGGUUGUAAACUAUUUCACUAAAAAACCUGUGUAUAUUAUGCUACCAUUUGUGUUUUUUUAAAACAAGUCUGCAUCAGCAUAGAAUAUCCCUGGAGGGACAUAUAAACUGGUAACAGUGAAGAAAAUGGGAGACUAGAGGGAAUGGGAUGAAAGGAAACUUAACUUUGCAAUGUACAGCCCUAAACGGACUACAAUUGUAGCAAAAUGAACAUUAUUUUUUCUAUUAAAAACUAAAACUAAUAAAAGUCAUACUUAAAAAAUUCAGUCUAUAUACAAAGGCAUAAGAUAGAAAACUCCUCUGUAAAAUCACCAAUUAAAAAUAAUCAUUAAAAUAUUGGUGUCUAGCAUUCAUUUUCUUUAGUAUACAUGCAUAUAUACAAGUAUGUGUAUACAAGAGUAUUCUUCAAUUUUUUCUCAACAAGCUUAUAAAUACAGUUUUCACUUAAAAUGUAGGUAUGAUGCCAUAUCAAUAAAUAUAGAAUUGCACCAUAGCUUUUAGACUUCCCAUCAGAAAGAUUCAUAUCAAUUUAUAUUCCCAUUGGAAGUAUAAAAAGUACUUAUUUUCCCCCCAUCCUGGCCCACACUGACUAUUGACACUGAUUUUUCAAAAAAUCUUUCCUACUAUGAUAAAAUGUCUUACUUUUGAUUUAAUUUGCAUGCCCCGAUUCCUAAUCAGGUUGAGUAUUUUUCUUUGUUUACUGGCAAUUUUCAUUCUUUUCUUAGUUAAUUCUCUUUUCGUGUCCUUUGAUCAUUUUCUUAAUAGGAUACUCAAAGUCCUUCAUUAAUGGUUUGCAUCUCAUUAAUAGUUUGUGAUAUACGUUAAAAGGCUAUCAUUUAAUUUUUUAUGGAUUAUGCUAUUGCGUUCUGCACAAACAUUUUGAUACGAGUAUGAUAAAAGAAUCAUAAGAGCUUAUAUCUGAAAGGACUCCUCUAAAUUCUUUCUACAGUUAAGGAAACUGAGCUCUUGGAAACUACAGCUAUUUGUAUAGUUACUUAUGAUUUUGUGAUUCUCUGUUGAGUCUCUACCAUACAGGAGGUGGUCUCUGCCUCUGGUUCCUGGCACAGAGUUCUUAAAACCUGUGGGAUUGCCUGGGUGAUAGGAAUAUCUUUUGUUCUAAUAAGGAUGAUCAGAAAAUGCUUCAGUGCGAAGGCAACUUUUGAGCAAAGACUUGAAACAGGUGAGGUAAUGGAUCCUCGUGUAUCUGCAGGAAGACUGUUCCUCCGGGCAGUAUCUUCAAAGCUUUUGAGGUGAAGUGUGCCUAUCCUGAACAAUUUGGAGAAGACUGGUGUGGCUGGAGCAGAGUAAAAGAAAAAAAGGAGAUAAUCAGAAAAUCGGCAAGGUGGAAAAGGUGAAGACACCGAAGGGCCUUGUAGGGCAUCAAGAGGUCUCUGGCUUUCACUCUGGGUGAUAUGGGGAGCUCUUGGAGCUUUGAGCAGAGAGGUGUGUCAGGAUCGGACUUACAUUUUAAAAUGAUUAAUUGUCAUCACUUUUAGAUACAUUAAGAAGCUGAAGCCACUUUGAUGGUGGAUUAAGAGAUGUGGUGAGAGACUAAAGGAUAACUUCAAGAUAUCUAACCUGAGCAACUAAAAAGGAAGUUUCCAGUAACCGAGAUGAGGAAGACUGCAGGAAAAACAGGUUUAGAGGCAAAGAUCCAGAGAUUGUAGGUUUAAGAUAUCUAUUAAAUAUUCAAAAUAAAAUACUGCACAUACAAAUGGUAAGUCUAAAGUUUGCAGUAUAUGUGCAUGCUAGAUACACGUGUUGAAGGCUGGCAGAGCACAGGGAGUACGUAGGGCCACAGGACUGACAGAGAUCACUAAGGGAGGAACAGUAGACAGAGAAAAAGCCCAAGAACUGAAAACAAGGGUACCUCCACAGUUAAAAAGGUCAUUAGGAAGAUGGGAAGGAACUGUAAUUCACUGCGUAUUCACAUAUUUAACCCUCACUGAUAUCCUAUAAAUUAUUAUUCCUAUUUUAUAGUUGAGGUAGCUGCAAUUGAUCAGAGAUGUAAUAGCUAGAAAGUGCUGACACAAGGUUUGAACCUGGGCAAUUUGGCCUAAAAGCCUUUUGAUGCCUUAUCCUCUAUUUCUUUUCUAAAAGACCUGGGUUUUUAGAGUACUUCAUAGUAUGCAUAAAUCAACUGUAGGUCACUGUCCAGAAAGCUAAUGGAAUUUCAGGGUACAUAAAGAAACGGAUGAUGUCAAAACAAAAGGAGGUAUUACUCUAAGUGUAAUUAGCACUUUUUAGAUCUCACUUGAAGACGUGUACUGUACUUUGGCUGGCACACUAAAAAAAAAACACACUUAGUAGGUGCUCAAUAAAGGUUAGUUAUCAUACUAUCACAAUCAUUAUUAAAGAUGUACACAACAGCUGGUCCACAAACUGGAAGCCUGUCAGCAACGUUAUGCUAUUUUCCCAAACUGAGCAAUAGGGCAUUGAUUACAUCAAGCUUCUCUUAAAUCUUACUUUUUUUUCAUUGUAUUUAUUCAGUCAACUAGA
Molecule: long non-coding RNA, 2596 nt
Organism: Artibeus jamaicensis (Jamaican fruit-eating bat)
Lineage: Eukaryota; Metazoa; Chordata; Mammalia; Chiroptera; Phyllostomidae
Exons: 3
Source: RefSeq, a predicted model, not a curated record